Molecule: ribosomal RNA, 893 nt
Filed under: uncultured bacterium
Lineage: Bacteria
Description: bacterial SSU rRNA
Rfam family: Bacterial small subunit ribosomal RNA
Source: RNAcentral
UCGACGAUGAAUCUUCUAGCUUGCUAGAAGUGGAUUAGUGGCGCACGGGUGAGUAAUGCAUAGGUUAUGUGCCCUUUAGUCUGGGAUAGCCACUGGAAACGGUGAUUAAUACUGGAUACUCCCUACGGGGGAAAGUUUUUCGCUAAAGGAUCAGCCUAUGUCCUAUCAGCUUGUUGGUGAGGUAAUGGCUCACCAAGGCUAUGACGGGUAUCCGGCCUGAGAGGGUGAUCGGACACACUGGAACUGAGACACGGUCCAGACUCCUACGGGAGGCAGCAGUAGGGAAUAUUGCUCAGUGGGGGAAACCCUGAAGCAGCAACGCCGCGUGGAGGAUGAAGGUUUUAGGAUUGUAAACUCCUUUUGUUAGAGAAGAUUAUGACGGUAUCUAACGAAUAAGCACCGGCUAACUCCGUGCCAGCAGCCGCGGUAAUACGGAGGGUGCAAGCGUUACUCGGAAUCACUGGGCGUAAAGAGUGCGUAGGCGGGGUAAUAAGUCAGAUGUGAAAUCCUGUAGCUUAACUACAGAACUGCAUUUGAAACUGUUACUCUGGAGUGUGGGAGAGGUAGGUGGAAUUCUUGGUGUAGGGGUAAAAUCCGUAGAGAUCAAGAGGAAUACUCAUUGCGAAGGCGACCUGCUGGAACAUUACUGACGCUGAUGCACGAAAGCGUGGGGAGCAAACAGGAUUAGAUACCCUGGUAGUCCACGCCCUAAACGAUGGAUGCUAGUUGUUGCCUUGCUUGUCAGGGCAGUAAUGCAGCUAACGCAUUAAGCAUCCCGCCUGGGGAGUACGGUCGCAAGAUUAAAACUCAAAGGAAUAGACGGGGACCCGCACAAGCGGUGGAGCAUGUGGUUUAAUUCGAAGAUACGCGAAGAACCUUACCUAGGCUUGACA